GCUGCCCAACGACAGGCAGACCAAAGAGAUACUGAUCAGACGUCACGCUAGUAUACGCCGCAGCCUGAGGCCGGGCAGCUUUCAGAUGGUGGUUCCCAAAUCCCAUAAGUACUUCUCUCUUCCUACUGGGAAGAGUUUGGACUCAAAGUUUCCUGCCGAGCGGCUCAGCUACACACGUGAUGAUGAAACCAUGUCAGAGUUGGCCUACC
Molecule: long non-coding RNA, 209 nt
Organism: Thalassophryne amazonica
Lineage: Eukaryota; Metazoa; Chordata; Actinopteri; Batrachoidiformes; Batrachoididae
Exons: 3
Source: RefSeq, a predicted model, not a curated record